UCAACGCUUAGGUGGUAUGAUUUGAUUGCAUUUAUUUUUCUUUCAUCCCCGAUGCUUUCAUGUGAUUUAGAGAUCAUAGAAGAGACGGAGUGUUUGAUGUUUACACACUGUAUCAUCGACUAUUUGGUUUGUAAUGGAUGAAUUGCCGUGCCCCCAUCAUUUUCAGAAUGUCACAUCCCCAGAGAAUUUGAAAGUGAAUAAUACAUGAUUCCAAUAUGCUAAUUUUUCUUCAAAAGAUGGAAAACAAAUGAUGAAAUUCAUUACUGGUACAAAAAAAAAAAAAAAAAAAAAAAAGUUGAACAGAAAAAUUCCAAUCAACACUGUUUCUCAUUUCCUCAUACAUCCACAAUCA
Vitis riparia (riverbank grape) is the source of this 352-nucleotide long non-coding RNA. RefSeq lists it as uncharacterized. NCBI's taxonomy places the organism in Eukaryota, Viridiplantae, Streptophyta, Magnoliopsida, Vitales, Vitaceae. The record is from RefSeq and is a predicted model, not a curated record. The transcript is spliced from 2 exons.